This 484-nucleotide ribosomal RNA is filed under the name uncultured bacterium. RNAcentral's name for it is "bacterial SSU rRNA". It matches the Rfam family "Bacterial small subunit ribosomal RNA", at positions 28 to 511 of the family's 1533-position model. The record is from RNAcentral.
GACGAACGUUGGCGGCGUGCUUAAUACAUGCAAGUCAACUGAAGCACCGGUAGUAAUACUGGUGUGGAGGUGGCGCACGGGUGAGUAACACGUAGGUAAUCUGCCUUCAGGUCUGACAUAACCCCGAGAAAUUGGGGCUAAUAGCAGAUGAUGCAGCGGCUUGACAUCAAGACAGUUGUUAAAGCUUCGGCGCCUGAAGAUGAGCCUGCGUCUGAUUAGCUAGUUGGCGGAGUAAUAGCCCACCAAGGCGACGAUCAGUAGCUGGUCUGAGAGGAUGAUCAGCCACACUGGAACUGAGACACGGUCCAGACUCCUACGGGAGGCAGCAGUAAGGAAUAUUGCUCAAUGGGAGAAAUCCUGAAGCAGCAACGCCGCGUGAGGGAUGAAGGGCUUUUGCUCGUAAACCUCUGUAGUGAGGGAAAAAUUUCCAUUCUAUGGAAUAUGAUGGUACCUCAAAAGUAAGCCCCGGCUAACUACGUGCCAG